UCCCUGGUAGUAUAUCGGUUAGUACACGCGCCUGUCAUAGCAAUUGGCCAUAAGUCGCGCGAAAGCUGGGUUCGACUCCCAGCCAGGGAG
Marasmius fiardii PR-910 is the source of this 90-nucleotide non-coding RNA. The record is from the annotation of a GenBank genome assembly. Lineage: Eukaryota; Fungi; Basidiomycota; Agaricomycetes; Agaricales; Marasmiaceae.